UACAGAGGGUGCAAGCGUUGUUCGGAAUUACUGGGCGUAAAGGGCGUGUAGGCGGCCAUGCAAGUCAGAUGUGAAAUCCCGGGGCUCAACUCCGGAAGUGCAUUUGAAACUGCGAGGCUAGAGUGCUGUAGAGGAUGGCGGAAUACCCAGUGGAGAGGUGAAAUUCGUAGAUAUUGGGUAGAACACCGGUGGCGAAGGCGGCCAUCUGGGCAGCAACUGACGCUGAGGCGCGAAAGCGUGGGGAGCAAACAGG
RNAcentral lists this ribosomal RNA (253 nucleotides) under uncultured bacterium. RNAcentral's name for it is "partial 16S ribosomal RNA". It matches the Rfam family "Bacterial small subunit ribosomal RNA", at positions 524 to 776 of the family's 1533-position model. The record is from RNAcentral.